RNAcentral lists this small nuclear RNA (327 nucleotides) under Erinaceus europaeus (western European hedgehog). RNAcentral describes it as "7SK RNA". It matches the Rfam family "7SK RNA". From Rfam's summary of the family: 7SK was discovered as an abundant small nuclear RNA in the mid-70s but a possible function has only recently been suggested. Two independent studies have found that 7SK RNA binds the CDK9/cyclin T complex (known as elongation factor P-TEFb). P-TEFb activates transcription by phosphorylating the C-terminal domain of RNA polymerase II. Lineage: Eukaryota; Metazoa; Chordata; Mammalia; Eulipotyphla; Erinaceidae. The record is from Rfam by way of RNAcentral.
UAAUGUGAGGGCAAUCGGGCUGAGACAUCUGUCACCUUAUUGAUUGUGAGGGUUUAUUUGGCUGAUCUAGCUUGCUAGGCAAGCGUCCCCUUCCUCCUUCAUUCCUCCAUGUGUUCCCCUCUGGUAGCUGCCUGCCCUGGCUGAAGAGGAUGACCUUCCCCAAGAUAGUGACAGACCAGUCCAGCCUAUAUAGGUAGCUGCACUCCCCUGAUAGGUCUUCCAAACAAGCUCCCAAGAAACAAAAUAAAUAAAAACGAUUUAUUAUUUCUCAUGUUUCCUGUAGCUAAGUAAACUGAUAGGGCACUAUGAAUUCGACUUUCUUCUGUU